CAGAGAGGCCAGGCAGUGGUGGCACACCUUUAAUCCCAGCACUAGGGAAAGUGGAGACAGGAAGGGAUAUGGCUGGGCAGAGAGAGGAAUAUAAAGCAGGAGGAGACAGGAGCUGAGAGCCCUUUCGGACUUAGGAUUCAGUAGAGGUAUGCUGAAAGAGUUAUGGGACCAUAAAGACCUCUACCAAGAUUACAGAAGAAAGCCUAGGAGGCCACUAACUGUGUGACAGUGUUGGCAUCCCCAUGGGCAGUCCCUAAAAGGAUGGUAUGUGAAGCUGUGACAGAAAAGGAGAAGAUGUAAUGGAGAUCACAGGAGAUAAAAGAUGACUAGGAACAUGAAACCUCUGCCAGAGAAAGGAGCAGGCAGGGUAAGUGGUAGGCAAGCUCUGUCCAGGACCACACUAACUGACGAAGUCCCAAGUGCUCAUGCUUCUCUAAGCUCCUCAGUUAGUCAUCAGAUAAUGUAUCAUAUACCUCGGCUGUAUCAAUCAUCUUCAAUUUUCAAAAAAAGGUACUGACUAAAAAGAUCUAAAAGAAGGGUCUCACUUUGUACCCCUGGCUGGUCUUGAAUUCACAGAACACUUCCUGUCUCAGCCUCCACAUUAAAAGAAUGUACACCACCACA
Long non-coding RNA from Peromyscus eremicus (cactus mouse), 624 nucleotides. RefSeq lists it as uncharacterized. The record is from RefSeq and is a predicted model, not a curated record. The transcript is spliced from 4 exons. Lineage: Eukaryota; Metazoa; Chordata; Mammalia; Rodentia; Cricetidae.